GCCUUCGUGUGUAACUGGAAGCACCGUCGUCUCAUAUUCGAUAGGUCCAGGGUUCGAGUCCCGGCGAUGGUA
RNAcentral lists this transfer RNA (72 nucleotides) under Stegodyphus mimosarum. It matches the Rfam family "tRNA". From Rfam's summary of the family: Transfer RNA (tRNA) molecules are approximately 80 nucleotides in length. Their secondary structure includes four short double-helical elements and three loops (D, anti-codon, and T loops). The record is from Rfam by way of RNAcentral. Lineage: Eukaryota; Metazoa; Arthropoda; Arachnida; Araneae; Eresidae.